GCCUAGCCCCGAUCGAAAUGGUAUCUUUUUGUGGUCUCGUUUCUUUAACGAGACUACAAAAAAUAUAAUAGAGAGCGGGACAAAUG
Molecule: small RNA, 86 nt
Filed under: Flavobacterium sp. S87F.05.LMB.W.Kidney.N
Lineage: Bacteria; Pseudomonadati; Bacteroidota; Flavobacteriia; Flavobacteriales; Flavobacteriaceae
Description: Flavo-1 RNA
Rfam family: Flavo-1 RNA
Source: RNAcentral